GACGAAGGAUGCAAGCGUUAUCCGGAUUCAUUGGGUUUAAAGGGUGCGUAGGCGGACUGGUAAGUCAGUGGUGAAAUCUCUUUGCUUAACAAAGAAACUGCCAUUGAUACUGCUAGUCUAGAGUAUAGAUGACGUUGGCGGAAUAUGACAUGUAGUGGUGAAAUACGUAGAUAUGUCGUAGAACACCGAUUGCGAAGGCAGCUAACGGAACUAUAACUGACGCUGAGGCGCGAAAGUGUGGGGAUCAAACAGG
This 253-nucleotide ribosomal RNA is filed under the name uncultured bacterium. RNAcentral's name for it is "partial 16S ribosomal RNA". It matches the Rfam family "Bacterial small subunit ribosomal RNA", at positions 524 to 776 of the family's 1533-position model. The record is from RNAcentral.